AGGGCCUCUCUUUUUCUUUUUCUUUACUGUUUGUUUAUUUUUGAGAGAGAGAGAGAGAGAGCGAGAGAGCGAGAGAGCAGAGAGAGAGAGAGCGAGAGCGAGCACGAGCAGGGGAGGGGCAGAGACAGAGGAAGACACAGAAUCCGAAGCAGGCUCCAGGUUCUGAGCAGUCAGCACGAAGCCCGACUCGGGGCUCGAACUUGUGAACCGUGAGACCGUGCCCUGACCGGAAGCUGAAUGCUUAACCGGAAGCUGAAUGCUUAACCGGAAGCUGAAUGCUUAACCGGAAGCUGAAUGCUUAACCGGCUGAGCCCCCCGGGCACCCCCACCAGGCUUCCCUUCUUACGUACAGAUGCUUCGCAGGCUGGGUCAUGUGAGCCCCAGGCGCCCCACCCUCUUCCUGAAAGGACCUUUUCCUGCCAGCUCCUUCCAGGGUCGUGCCUGACGCAGCAGCUUCGGGAGGCCCUGCUGGCCGUGCCACCCAGGGUCUCACCCCCAAGCAGGCACCGCACCAGCGGCCCGGCCCCAGAGCCUCCAGCAGGAGCUGAGUACCAGUCAUCGAAAUGCCACAGAAGGAGGAGUCACGUCCCGGAGCCACCAGGAGCCCGUGUCUCAGGCUCACACACGGAGACCAUUAUCCCUCACGCGGGGGGCGAUUCUGUGCAGACUCAGUGGCCCAGGAAGGCCGCGGGGUACCCAACAGUAGACAGCUGCCGGUGUUGGAACAAGGGCCUAACUCGGGCUCGCAUUCCUGCAGUGGCCCGCAGGCCGAGGGCGGCCCCUGACGGGCCUUCAGGUGGUUGCCGGCUGACAGAGAAGCUAUGAGACUGGACAGAGAGGACGACAGCACACCCCAAAACCCUGCUGUGGGGUUCCCGCCGCCCAUCCCAUGCCCCUAUUUGUGCCAAUGGUUUCGCCCCUCCCCAUCCAUCUUUGAAGCAAAACAAAAGUGGACAGGAUUGCUUCUUGUCUCCUGUUGAGGUGGGCUCGAGGCUUUGACCCUCAAGAGGGAUGGUGCAGGGAGGGGGAGGCCGCCAGGACCCCCUAUAUGCCUCUCACUGGGCCCUUUCCUUUUUAAACCAUUGUUUUAUUGGGGCGAAAAAUAUAUAACAUAUAACCAGCCAUCGUGACCGUUUUUAAGUGUAGAACUCAGUGCCUUUGCCUGCAUUCACAGCGUUUGCAACUGUCAGCACUAUCGAUUUCCAAAAUUUUCAUCAUCCCGAACAGAAACCCGGUCUCCAUUAGGCAAUAACUCUCCAUCCCCCUCCCCCCAGCCCCUGGUAACCUCCACACUACUUUCGGACUGAAUUCGCCUGUCCUGCACAUUUCGUAACAGCGGGCUGGACGUUUGUCCUUUUCUGUCUGGAAUCUUCCGCUAUACGUGAUGCCAUCAAGUUCACCCGUGCUAUUCCUUCUUUUUUUUUUUUUAGUUUAAUUUAUUCAUUUUUGAUAUAUAUAUACACACACAUGAGAGAGAGAGAAAGUGCGAGCCCGAGCAGGGGAGGGGCAGAGAGAUAGGAAGACAGAAUCCCAAGCAGGCUGUGAGCGGUUAGCACCGAGCCCGAUGUGGGGCUCGAGCCCACAAACCGAGAGAUCAUGACCUGAACCGAAACCAAGAGUCGGACACUUAAUCAAUUGAGCCACCCAGGCGCCCCACGUCAUUCCAUCUUAAGGCUGAGCACAGGUCCCUUAAUUACAUGGAUAGGGCACACCAUUCAAGGCCUUGCAUUUGGUUCUUUGGGGUGCAGGCCCAGAAGUAGUGUGGCUAGAUCUACGGACCCCCCCUCCUCUUUCAAGAGGUUCUGUCUCCCUUCCCUCUCGUGGA
RNAcentral lists this long non-coding RNA (1825 nucleotides) under Felis catus (domestic cat). Its description in RNAcentral is "lncRNA (ENSFCAG00000046272.2)". The record is from RNAcentral. Lineage: Eukaryota; Metazoa; Chordata; Mammalia; Carnivora; Felidae.